GAGGGUAUAGCUCAGCGGUAGGGUGCAUGCUUAGCAUGCACAAGAUCCUGGGUUCAAUCCUCAGUACCUCCA
RNAcentral lists this transfer RNA (72 nucleotides) under Camelus bactrianus (Bactrian camel). It matches the Rfam family "tRNA". Rfam says of the family: Transfer RNA (tRNA) molecules are approximately 80 nucleotides in length. Their secondary structure includes four short double-helical elements and three loops (D, anti-codon, and T loops). Further hydrogen bonds mediate the characteristic L-shaped molecular structure. tRNAs have two regions of fundamental functional importance: the anti-codon, which is responsible for specific mRNA codon recognition, and the 3' end, to which the tRNAs corresponding amino acid is attached (by aminoacyl-tRNA synthetases). tRNAs cope with the degeneracy of the genetic code in two manners: having more than one tRNA (with a specific anti-codon) for a particular amino acid; and 'wobble' base-pairing, i.e. permitting non-standard base-pairing at the 3rd anti-codon position. RNAcentral also lists the same sequence under 2 other names. The record is from Rfam by way of RNAcentral. Lineage: Eukaryota; Metazoa; Chordata; Mammalia; Artiodactyla; Camelidae.